RNAcentral lists this long non-coding RNA (3149 nucleotides) under Ricinus communis (castor bean). Its description in RNAcentral is "long non-coding RNA (RCOM_LNC003324)". Lineage: Eukaryota; Viridiplantae; Streptophyta; Magnoliopsida; Malpighiales; Euphorbiaceae. The record is from RNAcentral.
ACUAUUAUUAUUACUUUUUUCUUAAUGUGAAUCAUAGCUAUCAGUUCAAUCAUUGCUUUUCCUGUUACAGAUGUCAGUCUUUUUUCUGUUGAUGCGGAAAAAAAGCGCAGCUAGUCCUUUUCAGAGUAGGAGCAGUUAGGAUAGGGGAAAUCCCCUUCUUUCUCUGGUUUCAAAACCCCAACCGGUAACCAAAACAAAGAAGCCAGCUUCGGUAGUCUUAGUAGCUUCAAAGGAAUUGGUAGUAUGUCUUGAAUAGGAAAGCAUUCAAUGUAUGAACUCAACCUAUGUUCAAGAGCUUGAACAAUGAAGUGAAAGCUCUAAGCUAGCUCUUCGAUCCCAGCAAUGGGUGUAAUCGCUAACAAGCUAUCAGGCAGGAUACCUCAAUCUGUCAAAGCUAUGAACCGUACUCGUCUGCUUGUUCUUCCUCGAAUAGAAGCUCUAGAUCGAAUUGAAUAGAUGCCCUAUCAGGAUUAAAAGGAGUUGGUCUCGGCUGCCUCCGUUCUCUUUACGGAUGGAUAGAGAAAAAUCCCAGAAAUCGUUCCCUCCCGGCCCUACCUCUUCUGGUUAACGCCUCUCUGAAGAUCUUUUUAGGGUGGGCAAAGAGGGUGAAGCCACUUUUGCAGCUCUGCCCGGUAGAAAAAGUGGAACUCGAAUAGUUGUCUGAUAAAGGAAGGCAGUAAAGGAUAUGAAAGAAAGCAGGCUUUACUAUCUUACCUAGCUCCCAAGGUGGGAACACUUAACUCAUGAAGACGUUGUGCUCGGGCCUCUCUUGGGGGAGUCCCUUCUCUCCUCCACCCCCUUCCCUUGAACAGGCUUUCCGCGGUACCAAGCUCACUUCAUUAAGUCUUUCUUUAAUAAAUAUAGGAGUGUUUAUCGCUACUACCAACUACAGCAACUGAAAAAAGGAGCUAACACUAAUAGUUAUCCGAAAGACGGUUCUGCAAGCCGGACUUAACGACAGAUCUUCUAGUUUCUUUAUUUUAUCUAAAAACCGCUCUUGCUCGAACUGGAAAUUGCGUGAAUAGUGGAAGAGCACGCCAUUCGGAUUAGAGCUGUGGCACGAGAAGGCAGAAGGCCGGUGCCUUGAUCGAGACCUUUUUUGGCGUGAGUUGCUUAGUGUUAAGUGUAUAGCCACAAAGAAAUUACAUAAGGCAUUUCACACUCGCUUUUCAGAAGGAAUAAAAAAACCAGGCUGUUCGCAGAACGAAUAAAAAGUCUUUCAUAAAUGCUUUAUGGAAAGAGUCAUGUUUACAAGCUCGAGGAAUCUAAGGGGCGUUAAGCGUUAAGAAGGCUAUAAGGGAAUCUUUCUUUCAAUUCAAACCGUUAGACGAGACGAGAACUUGUAUGGAAAAGGGUUCUCCGCGUCGCAUCGGUUUUUCCUAGACCUCAAAGACUGGCACCUCCCUUUCAUCUGCACCUGAAAACAGUGGUUAGGCUUUACCUGGACCUUCCUUCCUUCUUUUUGCAUCUCUGGCUUAGUCUAGUCCUUCGUAUCUUCCUUUCCCUCUUUAGUUUCAAUGUCAAUGGCAGUUAUCUUUAGAAAGAGUAGGGGGAUGGAUUUCCUGGGAUGUCGAUUCUGUAAUCAAGACAAAGCAAGAUACCCACGCCAAGAUCGAUGAAAAUAGAAGCCGGCUAUUUCUUAUUUUAUUAUAGAUAGGACAGGUAAGAGAGAAGACCUGUUACGCCGAGAGGAGCACACCUUGAUCUGUCAUUCCUUCCACGCGCACCGUCGAUCAGGGCUAUUUGAACUAGUUGAAAAGAAAAGGCUGGGUUGCCCCUUGGUUCUUUCAACCGUACUUCCUUGGGGCUUGCUUCUUAUGACCCCACCCUUCGCACCAAACGCCGGCAAACCGCUGCUAAAGAAGAAUGAACUGGGGAAGAAAGAUUUUCUAGAACCAGAACCUUGGCGCUGCUUUCUAACACCGGCAUUCAAAGCAGGAGCUGCUACUGUACUUUCUAGCGCUUGCUUGCGAUCUGGAGACCGCAUAAAGAAGAGCUUUCCCCCGAGCCUGCUUUCUUCGUACCAAACAUCUGCUAACAAAAUGUGCCAAAACGUCCUAGGUGUGCUGGCAAAGCAUUCCCUAUCACUUCUUGUGUUGUGCUCUUUCGAAAAGGGGGAUCCCCUAUGAAAUUCGAUUUAGCUUCCGCCCCAAACUACGCUUCCUUCGUUCGCCUACUGGGCCCUUCCCUCCGCCCUUUGGUUCUUUCCUUCUUGGAUCCCUUCCCCCCUCUAGUGGUAAGGCCUUGAAGGCAGUCUUAAGAUAAGCGCUUUUGUAAAGCAGUGAGCAAGCAAACAACUUUUCAAGCAGUCCGCUAGCUUAAAAAAAUUCCUUAGAACUAGGGGGGAUAGGCAGAAAGCAAGGGAAAGAGCUAUUCAGAAUAUGUUAAUUAUUCCCCGCCCUCCAAUAGAACUCCUAAGUAAAAAAGUCUAUCCGCAGUGGAAGCUAGCAAGUAAAGCCAGUAUCUUUACUUCUUUGGAAAGCUUUCAGGCAAGGUCAAUCCAUGAUCCAGUGAGAAAGCCUGAGUCUCAGUAGUUUAUAGAACCCCGUAGAAGAAAGCUUAGUAGAGUGCUUGGUCUCCUAGCUUGCCUGCCAGUGAGAGUAAUGCCUUCCAGUUUGUCUUUCACUCAGUCAGUCAGUCAGUCAUUCGUCCCAGCUUUCCUUUCUUCUUGUCCCGAAAGCAUUUCUUUCAUAGAACGACUUGCCCAUAGGUCGUAAUGCUACGAAGAAGUUGUUUGGUAAGCCUGUCUCUUCUUUAUAGAAAGUAGCCUGUCUGCGGUCACUCUCUCUUUCGCUGUCCAAGGGGCAAUGCGAGCACGAAUCUUACUGGCUUAGUGAGUCUUCUUAGUAAGCGCUGAAAGGCAGGCAUCCGUAACAGCCUUCCACCUCUUGUUUUGCUUUUCUUUUUCCACAGAUCUGGAACUUUGCACACUUGGAACCCGAUCCUGAGGAAGAAUGAAUUGUCGGGUUGGAUUUGUAGGGUGCCAAUAAGGAUGCCAGGGUGCCAGGCGAGCACGAAGACUGACUAGGGACGGACGGAAGGGACUUAGCCCAGCACCCCCUCAUCUGCUGCACCUGAGAACAGGCAUCUAAGAACGAAAGCCUUAAUAAAAGCAAUCUUGAGAGGCAGAAACCCGGCUAGGAGUGCUC